Molecule: non-coding RNA, 613 nt
Organism: Arvicanthis niloticus (Nile rat)
Lineage: Eukaryota; Metazoa; Chordata; Mammalia; Rodentia; Muridae
Source: RefSeq, a predicted model, not a curated record
GGCAGUUGCCCAGAAUGUCCUGCAUAGAACAGUAAUGGUUGUCUUACCUGAGUUUGUGCUGCAGUUGUGCAGUUGGAAAGUUAAGUGCUGGAGAACUUUGAUUUCUACCAGUGGCGAGAUCAGGCUACAUGUUCCGCAGAAGGGCCACAAAGCCCCGGACAAUGUCACAGAUCUCAAACUAUAACCAGAAAACUGAUCACUUCAAGGUAUGUCAUAUUCCUGAGAGGACCUUGGCUUCAGGUAGCAAGAGAGGAAGACAUAGCCCUACAGAAUGCUUUUGGAAGUGAUACUGUAUCAGAAGUUCCAGGAUUGCACCCUGUGAUCGCCUUAUAAAACCAGAAAAAAUAUAGUUUGACCACAACUGGAAGAAGUGGACUGUGACAGAAUGUGCAGAAUAUAUUCUAGAGGUCAGUAAGCUACAGCAGGCUAAGUGGAGCAGUUAAGGCCGAGCGGAAAGUAGCAGCAACAAAAGUUUUCCCAGAGAUGUGAACAACCUGUUCCUGUUCCUGCAACUCUAGCUAUGACUGCUGAAUGCUGGUGCGCCCAUCCGCCACCAGGAACUCUUAUCGCCCUGGACUGUAAGCCCAAAUAAACACCUCUUUCUGUAAGUCGA